Molecule: non-coding RNA, 85 nt
Organism: Coniosporium tulheliwenetii
Lineage: Eukaryota; Fungi; Ascomycota; Dothideomycetes
Source: the annotation of a GenBank genome assembly
GACAGCCAAUGGCAAGGCGCUUGACUACGACUUGAACCCGCACUCUGAAAUCAAGAGAUUCCAGGUUCGACCCCUGGCAUGGUCA